Molecule: ribosomal RNA, 253 nt
Filed under: uncultured bacterium
Lineage: Bacteria
Description: partial 16S ribosomal RNA
Rfam family: Bacterial small subunit ribosomal RNA
Source: RNAcentral
UACGAAGGGGGCUAGCGUUGCUCGGAAUCACUGGGCGUAAAGCGCACGUAGGCGGCUUUUUAAGUCAGGGGUGAAAUCCUGGAGCUCAACUCCAGAACUGCCUUUGAUACUGGGAAGCUCGAGUCCGGGAGAGGUGAGUGGAACUCCGAGUGUAGAGGUGAAAUUCGUAGAUAUUAGGAAGAACACCAGUGGCGAAGGCGGCUCACUGGUCCGGUACUGACGCUGAGGUGCGAAAGCGGGGGGAGCAAACAGG